UGAGCAACCUGCCCUUGACUCUGGGAUAACAGUUGGAAACAGCUGCUAAUACCGGAUACGACCCUGGAUGACAUCGUCCGGGGUGGAAAGCGCUUUAGCGGUCAAGGAUGGGCUCGCGGCCUAUCAGCUUGUUGGUGAGGUAACGGCUCACCAAGGCUUCGACGGGUAGCCGGCCUGAGAGGGCGACCCGGGCCACACUGGGACUGAGAUACGGCCCAGACCUCCGUACGGGA
This 233-nucleotide ribosomal RNA is filed under the name uncultured bacterium. RNAcentral describes it as "partial 16S ribosomal RNA". It matches the Rfam family "Bacterial small subunit ribosomal RNA", at positions 118 to 346 of the family's 1533-position model. The record is from RNAcentral.